UUAUCCAGCAAUGGAUGACUGAGUGGCGAACGGGUGAGUAACACGUGGGUGACCUACCUUCGAGUGGGGGAUAACGUCCCGAAAGGGACGCUAAUACCGCAUAACAUCCUGCCUUUGAACAGGCGGUGAUCAAAGCCGGGGACCGUAAGGCCCGGCGCUUGAUGAGGGGCUCGCGUCUGAUUAGCUAGUUGGUGAGGUAACGGCCCACCAAGGCGACGAUCAGUAUCCGGCCUGAGAGGGCGGACGGACACACUGGGACUGAGACACGGCCCAGACUCCUACGGGAGGCAGCAGUGGGGAAUUGUUCACAAUGGGCGCAAGCCUGAUGACGCAACGCCGCGUGGAGGAUGAAGGUCUUCGGAUUGUAAACUCCUGUUGCCCGGGACGAAAAGCUCUGACCUAACACGUCGGAGUCUGACGGUACCGGGUGAGGAAGCCCCGGCUAACUCUGUGCCAGCAGCCGCGGUAAUACAGAGGGGGCAAGCGUUGUUCGGAAUUACUGGGCGUAAAGGGCGCGUAGGCGGCCUUCUAAGUCGAACGUGAAAUCCCUGGGCUCAACCCAGGAACUGCGUCCGAUACUGGAAGGCUUGAAUCCGGGAGAGGGAUGCGGAAUUCCAGGUGUAGCGGUGAAAUGCGUAGAUAUCUGGAGGAACACCGGUGGCGAAGGCGGCAUCCUGGACCGGUAUUGACGCUGAGGCGCGAAAGCCAGGGGAGCAAACGGGAUUAGAUACCCCGGUAGUCCUGGCCCUAAACGAUGAAUGCUUGGUGUGGCGGGUAUCGAUCCCUGCCGUGCCGAAGCUAACGCAUUAAG
RNAcentral lists this ribosomal RNA (811 nucleotides) under uncultured Acidobacteriota bacterium. RNAcentral's name for it is "bacterial SSU rRNA". It matches the Rfam family "Bacterial small subunit ribosomal RNA", at positions 72 to 864 of the family's 1533-position model. The record is from RNAcentral. Lineage: Bacteria; Pseudomonadati; Acidobacteriota.